AACCUCUUAGGGUCGCACCUGGAGAGUUUCCAGUACUCUACCAGUAUCAACUACAGGAGGAAGAAUCAAGCAGAGACAUACCCUUUCCAUUCCUAGCUUGGCCAGUGGCUAGUGGGUGGAAGGCAAUCUGCUACAAGU
RNAcentral lists this small nucleolar RNA (138 nucleotides) under Ornithorhynchus anatinus (platypus). The record is from RNAcentral. Lineage: Eukaryota; Metazoa; Chordata; Mammalia; Monotremata; Ornithorhynchidae.